This 776-nucleotide ribosomal RNA is filed under the name uncultured Neocallimastigales. RNAcentral's name for it is "partial large subunit ribosomal RNA". It matches the Rfam family "Eukaryotic large subunit ribosomal RNA", at positions 24 to 637 of the family's 3401-position model. The record is from RNAcentral. Lineage: Eukaryota; Fungi; Neocallimastigomycota; Neocallimastigomycetes; Neocallimastigales.
GUAGUCUCGCACAGAUGCAUAUCAAUAAGCGGAGGAAAAGAAACUAACAAGGAUUCCCCUAGUAACGGCGAGUGAAGCGGGAAGAGCUCAAAUUUGAAAUCUUAAAGGGUUUCCCUUUACGAAUUGUAGUUUAAAGAAGUGUUUUCUGUUGAGGUUUUGGUAAAAGUUCUUUGGAAUAGGACAUCAUAGAGGGUGAGAAUCCCGUAUUUGACCUUUACUUUCAACUUUGUGAUACACUUUCAAAGAGUCGGAUUGUUUGGGAAUGCAGUCCAAAAGUGGGUGGUAAAUUUCAUCUAAAGCUAAAUAUUGGCGAGAGACCGAUAGCGAACACGUACCGUGAGGGAAAGAUGAAAAGAACUUUGAAAAGAGAGUUAAACAGUACGUGAAAUUGUCAAAAGGGAAGCGUUUGACACCAGUGUUGUUUUUCUGAAAAUCAAUUAAAGAACUGUUUAUGCUAAGUUGUUUAGACUUUAUCAGCUAACUGUUUAGUUUUGAGCUUUUCUUUAAUGCACUUUUCAGUUAACAAGUCAACAUCAAUUUCUUUUGCUGUAAAAAAGCUUGAGGAAGGUGGACUUGAGAUUCGUCUUAAGUGUUUAUAGCCUCUUGCCUAUGCAGUCGGAGAGAUUGAGGUCUGCAGCGUAGAUCCUUCGGGGCUAAAUGCAUUUGUGCUAAGUUAUAGCAUUUUAUAGACAACUUGUUGACUAUGAUUUGUCUUGUAGCUUACUCGCUUAUGUUAUUUUACCUACGCUUAGGAUGUUGACAGCAGUAUAGACUGU